This 2486-nucleotide long non-coding RNA is filed under the name Cricetulus griseus (Chinese hamster). RNAcentral's name for it is "lncRNA (ENSCGRG00015004693.2)". Lineage: Eukaryota; Metazoa; Chordata; Mammalia; Rodentia; Cricetidae. The record is from RNAcentral.
GCCACAGAUCUUGAAAACACUGAAGAAGGCUCCAGUGAAAGCCCAGCUGCUGAGCUCUUGAAUGUGCCACGCCCUCUCCUUCAAAAGGAUAACAUCUUAAAGGGUUCUGUUUGGUUUUCCUGUGUCGCUGAAAAGUAACAAAAAACCCAGGCAUAGUGACAAUUGGCUAACACCUGUUGAGGGCCCCCUGUGGGCCAAGAUUUGGGAAGGCAUCCAAAUCUCUGUUAGCGCUUUAAUCUUCCCUAGGUGGCUAUUGAGGCUCAGAGAGGGUGAGCAGCUGGCUGGGGGUGUGACCGGUGAGAACCCUCUAGAGCUAGGAUCUGAACCAGGGCAAACGGGUGCCCAGGACGAACAGAUUCCACCACCAAUCACGGCAUGAAGCAUUACUAUGGGCACCCCUCUGUGGACUCCUUGUGAGACUCUCUGAAACCGUGUCCUCCCAGGAUUGUCAAAGAAAACAGGAAGCCCCUCCUGGGGAGGCUCACCCCCGCCCCAUCCCCACAAGCCAGGAAGUGACUGGCAGAAAGAUAGACACCUAGCAAGGCCAGGAGCACCCGGGCUGGGAGCCUGGAGCCAUCAUCGGGCGGAGCCCGGAGCCAAGUCCCCUGGGGUCCAAGGGCUGCAUUCCUCCCAGGUCUGCAGAGGCCACCGCUUAAAGGCGCAGAGGAGCAGCUGGGAACGAGAACAAAGCGGCCAGGCCCCCCUCGGAGGAAGGAAGGAGCGAGCCCCAGGAAGCAGCUGAUAACGCUAAGCUCAGCUUGUUUUUUCCUCUGCUCAACAGUUCUCCUGCCACGGCAAACAAAAGAUGUACGUUCUGAUUCCCUCCCGUGUUUGGAUUGCGCCGCUUCUGCUUUCUGAUGAGCUGGGGGAGAGGCAUCCCGGGCAGCUUCUGGCUCGCCUUGCCAGAUGAUGGCAGAGUCCGCCCUGCCUGUCCCCAGCCUAGACGCCUAGCUGCACCAGGCAGGGCAUCGCUUUUGACGAUGGAAUGUGAUGUAGUGAGUGCUGCGGGUUGACUCGUGACCUAGGCUUUGAAGGAACUGCAGCUCAGGACAUGUAAAACUGUUUAGAUGGGAACCCUGGCCUUUCUCAGCUCUAUCGAGAGGCCCCGCCCCGCUAUCGUCUCAGCCAAAGUCACAACCCACUAUUGUGCAAGGGCCGCCUGGGAACACACAAGGUGCAGUCUGCCCUUCCCGGAUCGUGCCACCUUUCUCCCGUGGUUUAGGGCAAUAGUAAUAGAGGACAGGCGAAGAACACCUUCAGGGUCAACUGUGUGUGACAGGUUUUUGGAAAGUUUCUACACCCCAUAAGUCUCUCCGCCCAUGCAGCAAUCCAAAUCAGACCAAAUCAAACUGAAUUAGAAAAAGCCCAUGUUUAAUGGAUACAGCACUCCUGGAUGGCCUUCCAGCCCCCCAGAGAGGAGACAGAAAAUGGAAGAUCAAGAAAACCACAAGUGACUUCCCAUACAUGCAGAGACCAGAAGAGGAAGCUGGGUACCCUGCAACUGAAGACACUGGUUCUUGGGAGCUAGGAGUCAAAGUUAGGUGCUCUGGGAGUGCCUGUGUGCUCUUAUGACUCAGCCAUUCUCCAGCCCUCAGAGCCAUUCUUUAUGUCAUUAAAUUGUCUUUGCAACUGAACUGGAAUGUGUGAAGGGUUGCCACAUACUUCAUAUUGUUAGGAGGCUUCUUGCUAAUGUUUCCCGGCUGCCUGUACUACCAUCUCCUUUCCCACAGAGAAAAGUCCGAGGGCCUAGCAAACACCCUUUCUUCAAAACUAUCAAUCUCCCUGGCCCAGGGGGCCAGUGUAGUGGACAAUCCUGAUUGUGUCAGGUCCUUCAGUGGAUUAUGCUGGGCAUAAAUGAUAUUGAUGUAGUCAAGGAUUCCUCCAGAGGUCUGGGUGAUGGGAUUCCAUGUCCAAGCUAAGUUCUUCCAAAGAUUUGCAUGAGUGGGUGCUUCCCCCAUGGAACGGCAGGAAAAAACGGUAGAAAUGGUCUCUCUGCAGAACCGAAUGACCCCAAUGGGCCAACAGGAUUGUGGGAAGAGGAACCCACUGAACUGGAGUGUAUUUGUUAUUGUAGAUUGUUCUCUGCCAGAUGGCAGCAGGCAGUGGGAGCAGGGAGUCUCCGCUGUCUCGGUUCUCCAUGGUGCCUAGCUUCUUCUUGAUGAAGGGCCCCAGUGACAGCCUCCUCAAAGAGAAGUGAUAAUCCGAAGGGACAUUCCUCUCACAGACAGUUUCAAAGGCAGAGCCCUGAUGAGCCAAGUCUAGGAGAGAAACCAGAUAAAGAGUCACAAGUCGGGCUGGAGAGAUGGCUCAGCGGUUAAGAGCACCGACUGCUCUUCCAGAGGUCCUGAGUUCAAUUCCCAGCAACUACAUGGUGGCUCACAACCAUCCGUUAUGAGAUCUGGUGCCCUCUUCUGGUGUGCAGAUAUACAUGGAAGCAGAAUGUUGUACACAUAAUAAAUAAAUAAAAUCUUUAAAAAAAAAAAAAA